GUGGGGAAUUUUGGACAAUGGGGGCAACCCUGAUCCAGCCAUCCCGCGUGUGCGACGAAGGCCUUCGGGUUGUAAAGCACUUUUGGCAGGAAAGAAAUUGCCUGGGUUAAUACCCUGGGUAGAUGACGGUACCUGCAGAAUAAGCACCGGCUAACUACGUGCCAGCAGCCGCGGUAAUACGUAGGGUGCAAGCGUUAAUCGGAAUUACUGGGCGUAAAGCGUGCGCAGGCGGUUCGGAAAGAAAGAUGUGAAAUCCCAGGGCUUAACCUUGGAACUGCAUUUUUAACUACCGGGCUAGAGUGCGUCAGAGGGGGGUGGAAUUCCGCGUGUAGCAGUGAAAUGCGUAGAUAUGCGGAGGAACACCGAUGGCGAAGGCAGCCCCCUGGGAUGACACUGACGCUCAUGCACGAAAGCGUGGGGAGCAAACAGGAUUAGAUACCCGUGUAGUCC
This 450-nucleotide ribosomal RNA is filed under the name uncultured bacterium. Its description in RNAcentral is "partial 16S ribosomal RNA". It matches the Rfam family "Bacterial small subunit ribosomal RNA", at positions 354 to 796 of the family's 1533-position model. The record is from RNAcentral.